Molecule: ribosomal RNA, 445 nt
Filed under: uncultured bacterium
Lineage: Bacteria
Description: partial 16S ribosomal RNA
Rfam family: Bacterial small subunit ribosomal RNA
Source: RNAcentral
GUAGGGAAUAUUGGGCAAUGGAGGCAACUCUGACCCAGCCAUGCCGCGUGCAGGAUGACGGCCCUCUGGGUUGUAAACUGCUUUUAUACGGGAAGAAAAAAUACUACGUGUAGUAUACUGACGGUACCGUAAGAAUAAGGAUCGGCUAACUCCGUGCCAGCAGCCGCGGUAAUACGGAGGAUCCAAGCGUUGUCCGGAUUUAUUGGGUUUAAAGGGUGCGUAGGCGGAUCUUUAAGUCAGUGGUGAAAGCCUGCAGCUUAACUGUAGAAUUGCAAUUGAAACUGAAGAUCUUGAAUGUGGUUAAAGUAGGCGGAAUGUAUCAUGUAGCGGUGAAAUGCUUAGAUAUGAUACAGAACACCGAUAGCGAAGGCAGCUUGCUGAACCAUUAUUGACGCUGAGGCACGAAAGCGUGGGGAGCGAACAGGAUUAGAAACCCUAGUAGUCC